CAGAGUUUGUCCUGGCUCAGAUUGAACGCUGGCGGCAGGCCUAACACAUGCAAGUCGAGCGGAUGACGGGAGCUUGCUCCUUGAUUCAGCGGCGGACGGGUGAGUAAUACCUAGGAAUCUGCCUGAUAGUGGGGGACAACGUUUCGAAAGGAACGCUAAUACCGCAUACGUCCUACGGGAGAAAGCAGGGGACCUUCGGGCCUUGCGCUAUCAGAUGAGCCUAGGUCGGAUUAGCUAGUUGGUGAGGUAAUGGCUCACCAAGGCGACGAUCCGUAACUGGUCUGAGAGGAUGAUCAGUCACACUGGAACUGAGACACGGUCCAGACUCCUACGGGAGGCAGCAGUGGGGAAUAUUGGACAAUGGGCGAAAGCCUGAUCCAGCCAUGCCGCGUGUGUGAAGAAGGUCUUCGGAUUGUAAAGCACUUUAAGUUGGGAGGAAGGGCAGUAAGCUAAUACCUUGCUGUUUUGACGUUACCGACAGAAUAAGCACCGGCUAACUCUGUGCCAGCAGCCGCGGUAAUACAGAGGGUGCAAGCGUUAAUCGGAAUUACUGGGCGUAAAGCGCGCGUAGGUGGUUCGUUAAGUUGGAUGUGAAAUCCCCGGGCUCAACCUGGGAACUGCAUCCAAAACUGGCGAGCUAGAGUAGGGCAGAGGGUGGUGGAAUUUCCUGUGUAGCGGUGAAAUGCGUAGAUAUAGGAAGGAACACCAGUGGCGAAGGCGACCACCUGGGCUCAUACUGACACUGAGGUGCGAAAGCGUG
This 760-nucleotide ribosomal RNA is filed under the name Pseudomonas sp. TacK3. RNAcentral's name for it is "bacterial SSU rRNA". It matches the Rfam family "Bacterial small subunit ribosomal RNA", at positions 8 to 763 of the family's 1533-position model. Lineage: Bacteria; Pseudomonadati; Pseudomonadota; Gammaproteobacteria; Pseudomonadales; Pseudomonadaceae. The record is from RNAcentral.